CUUGUAUCUUGGACUUCCCAGUGGCAGGGUGCUACCACAGCCAGAUUCUUUGCUUCUGUACCUAUAGCUUCCACAACAGGGAAUGAGGGAGGCAAGUGUCUGGGGUGUAGUAGAACAUGACUGUGUACCUGUAGCUGGUGAAUUUUUCUCUUGGGGACUGUUAUGGAUCAAUAGCCAUCCCCACCUACUCUAUAAUGUGCCAGGGACAAAUUUGGAAAGCCUUGAUUGUCUUCUUCCCAUUCUCCAGUGCUGGGAUCUUUCCUGGAAAUUCCACUAGUAGUGGUUCAGUGAUCCAUGCUCCCCUCCCAUGCUUCAGAAGACUCACUUUUUCCAUGCAGUUUUCAGCCCAGCGAAUCCUGAAUUUGUGUCUGUGGUAUGGACCAACUUCAACAUGAGGAGGUGGAGACUGUUUCUCUUCUGCCAUGGCCUGUAUCCUUGCUUUCCUGAACCCUUCCAGGCAGAUAGAGUUGAACCCAAUUCUUCCAUAACCUGGCUAAGCAACUAUUUUUCCAUUCGUUUUUACUACUAAUCUGUACCUAGUAUGAUGAGACCCUUAUCAAUGAAUCUCCAGGAGUUACUGCCAUAAAAAAACAACCAGCAAUAACAUAGGAAUCUGAUGUUUACUUUCCAUUGCUUAGAGCAUGUGAAUAUUGUCUAAUUCCUAUGUCUUAGUACAUACUGAAGUAUGCUGAAAUGUCAAUAUGUGUAUCAAUGAAACAUUUAUACAUGAAUACAUAGUGCUGGUUAUAAGUAAAAAAAAUCUGUGUUUUUAAAUUUAAACUAGGUGUAAAGAGUCAGAAGCUCAUUAUAGAGUUAGGUAGAUCUGACUCUACAAAUUGGACAUUUCAAAAAGAUGAAGUGAUAGAAGCAUAAUUUGACAUUAGGCAUCUUUGAGAUGAGCCCAUUAAGUGAUGGAAAAUAAAGUUUACAUAUUGAAUAAGAAUUUUCUUAAU
Molecule: long non-coding RNA, 953 nt
Organism: Crocodylus porosus (Australian saltwater crocodile)
Lineage: Eukaryota; Metazoa; Chordata; Crocodylia; Crocodylidae
Source: Ensembl